This 741-nucleotide ribosomal RNA is filed under the name uncultured bacterium. RNAcentral's name for it is "bacterial SSU rRNA". It matches the Rfam family "Bacterial small subunit ribosomal RNA", at positions 94 to 823 of the family's 1533-position model. The record is from RNAcentral.
AGCGGCGGAUGGGUGAGUAACACGUGGGGAACCUGCCCCUAAGUCUGGGAUACAUUGGAAACAGGUGCUAAUACCGGAUAAUAAAGCAGAUCGCAUGAUCAGCUUUUGAAAGGCGGCGUAAGCUGUCGCUAAGGGAUGGCCCCGCGGUGCAUUAGCUAGUUGGUAAGGUAACGGCUUACCAAGGCGACGAUGCAUAGCCGAGUUGAGAGACUGAUCGGCCACAUUGGGACUGAGACACGGCCCAAACUCCUACGGGAGGCAGCAGUAGGGAAUCUUCCACAAUGGACGCAAGUCUGAUGGAGCAACGCCGCGUGAGUGAAGAAGGUAUUCGGAUCGUAAAGCUCUGUUGUUGGUGAAGAAGGAUAGAGGUAGUAACUGGCCUUUAUUUGACGGUAAUCAACCAGAAAGUCACGGCUAACUACGUGCCAGCAGCCGCGGUAAUACGUAGGUGGCAAGCGUUGUCCGGAUUUAUUGGGCGUAAAGCGAGCGCAGGCGGAAAAAUAAGUCUAAUGUGAAAGCCCUCGGCUUAACCGAGGAACUGCAUCGGAAACUGUUUUUCUUGAGUGCAGAAGAGGAGAGUGGAACUCCAUGUGUAGCGGUGGAAUGCGUAGAUAUAUGGAAGAACACCAGUGGCGAAGGCGGCUCUCUGGUCUGCAACUGACGCUGAGGCUCGAAAGCAUGGGUAGCGAACAGGAUUAGAUACCCUGGUAGUCCAUGCCGUAAACGAUGAGUGCUAAGUGU